Molecule: long non-coding RNA, 782 nt
Organism: Mus musculus (house mouse)
Lineage: Eukaryota; Metazoa; Chordata; Mammalia; Rodentia; Muridae
Product: predicted gene, 33573
Exons: 3
Source: RefSeq, a predicted model, not a curated record
CCCCCCUCUCGCUGUCUGCUUCCCGGCUGAUGUGUGAUGAGCAGCUUGGCCCCGCCAUACUUUCUACUGUUACACAGCAAUCUCGACAGCACGGAGCUGGAGUGCUGACCCAGAUGCUAUUGUACACAUUGGAGUGUUCCUCACUCCAGAUUCUAAUCUUUCCUUUAUGAGUCAGGUUCCUCUGGAAAUGGCACAUGUGGAAACACAAACAAGCCACAGAACACGUGAAAGCCCUAUGAAGCAAAUGGAUGCACAUCGGCAGCCAGAGGGAUGACCAUGACCGGCAGCCUAAGAAAAAGCAAGCUGCAAGAUGUCAAGCAUGAAAGAAACAAACCAGUGGAACCCUUCCUCACCAGGCCAUGGUUCACUCUGGCAAUGUCAUUCAGACACAGACUUCCUUCGCUGACGUGGACUCAAUGCCAACAUCGUAAGUGCCACGUGAAAAUUAAGACUUAAGAGCAAUCCUCCAGACUCUACGUUCAAGGCCCUUCACAGCAUCAGUAUCUCGUUUCUCCUCCGAGAUCACAGUGAAUGACAAAGCUGUGUUAGUCUCAGCAUUUUUCCCAUUUAAAGAUUCAAGGCAGAGGAAGAUUAACAGCAGUCCGCUUCAGAGUGUAUCCCCAGCUUAAUCAGAAAGGGGGAGCUUAGGAAGAGAUGAAGGGGGAAACUACUUCAAAGUGAGACAAAGAAAACUACAUACAAAUCCUCGGUCCCCCCAUUCAAAGGCAGCUGGGAGUCCUGUUCCAAAAUGCCAACAGCUCAAUAAAUGGAGCUUCAGUCUC